UUUUAUCCACCAUCCUCUCUUUCUUUGUAAAAAAACAUUUUCCUUACUACUAGUUUUAUUUUGUGAAUUUGUAAUACUAUCUACUGUCUCCUCUCUCCCUUUGUAAUUGGUAUCAAAGCGUCAGUGUAACGUUAUCUGGAGAAAUAAUAUCGUAGUAUUCAUUGUAAGUUCUUAUCCCUUAUUUUCAAUUUUGUUUAUUUCAUACUUGUUUAUCUUAAAACUUAUAUAUAUGUUAUUCUGUCUUACAAUAGCCUAUUUAUGUCUGGGUGAGACUAUUGACUUUUUAAAGUAAGAACAUAUAAAGAUAACAGAUGGUUUUAGAUACUUGAGAUAAAUUUCAUGAAAGAAACUGAUUGUCUAUAUAAGGAUAAAAUUUGCAAUCAUGCUAUGCAUAUUGAUUCUAAAAAUGAAAAUAAUAUUUCAGCUCUUAGUAAAGGUUUUAAUAGUUUAGUAGAUAUUACUUCUAUAUAUUUUCAUAAGUUAUAUAAUAAAGUAAGUAAAAUAGAAUAGUAAAUAAAUAAUUUAGGAGAAGUUACAGAAUUAGAUUUGAACAACGAACCUAAAGAAAUCUUAUCUGAAGUUAAUAAUAAAUUAGAACAAGUUCUUAUUAAUAAAAAUAUAGAACAAGAAAUAAAUUUAGGACCUUUAUAUUAUGGAAAUAAUAACAUAAUAUUAACCUUGUUAGAAUAAUAAGACACUUCCUCAGAAGAAUCGUCUUCUAAAAACAAAAGACAUAAAAAAACCUGAAAAACAGAAAAGAAAAUAUACUUAUCUACAAAAAUAUGAUUUCUAAUCCUAUAAACAACUUAUAGAACAUUGGAAGAAAAAUUUACUAAGACAUCUGAUAAAAAUGAAAGCAUAGAAUAUCUGAAACUAAUAGAACAACUUUAUAAAAAAUAUAAAAAUUUGUUUACAUUAUUUAAUUAUCAUUAUAUGUUAAACUAUGACACUACAGACAGUAGUAGUAGUUCUAAUAAUUCUCUAUGACACUACAGACAGUAGUAGCAGUUCUAAUAAUUCUGAUAAAAAUUCUGAUAAUUCUAUAAAUUUAGAAGACCUAAACGUUACAAGUUAUAAAUCUGAUGAAGAAAAUACUUCAACAGAUGAAGAAGAAAAUAUAGAAAUACCAGAACCAAUGGAUACUGAUCAAACAGAUUAUAAUCCUCAUUGGAAAAAGUAAAAUAGAGCUAGGUCGUCAAAAAGAUGAUUAUUUAAGAUCUUUUCAUAAAAACUAUGAACAAUUUGAAAAUACAACUAGAAUUUUUGGUAAUAAACCGAAAAUAUUGCUACUAAUGAAAUAAAAUCUAAAAAUUUAGGAGAAUCAUCUAUUCAACCAGUCCCACGUAGAAUAGGUGGUCUAAACAAAAGAAAUGUUGCCCAAGGAGGAAUAUUUUUAGAUCUAACUAAUAUUUCUAUAGCAGAUUAUGAAAAAACCAUAGAUGAAUUUUUAAACUACUUUGUUGGAAUAUUUCAAGUAGAUGUUUUACAAUUCCUGUAAUACCCCUACUCGUAUUCAUUGCCGGAAUAGGGUACGAGGCAUUACCGGAGUUUACGAAUUAUUUUUUUUAUAUUCAAUAUAGCCCCUUUAUAAAUAUUUAAUCUUCCCUGCAAUAUUAAAUCGAGACCAAUCCACAUCAACCAAAUCAAUUCAACAUAUUUUCAAGAUAAAUUCAUGCAUAUUUAUAAGAUAACGUCAUCACAUAUCUAAAACCGGGUUUGUUAACCAUACUAAUGGCUAACUUUACAUUCAUUUGACGUUAACAUUUACUUUGUUAGCUUAUACAUGCCAUUGAUUUCCAAAAUAAAGUUUCUUUAUAUACCGAAAUCCUGAGGUUGACAGUGUGAUGUGUCUCCGACCAAAUCCGACCUCCGAGCUCUUAACACUACAAAACAGGGAAAAAGGAAACGGGGUAAGUACUUUGUGCUUAGUAAGCUCAUGUAACAAGAAUUAUACUUACCUAAUAUUUUCAAUACAAUAUAAUAAACAUUCCUAUAUCCUAUCCAUUCAAUGCAUUAUUACCCUAAUAUGCACAAACUCAACAUUCAAGUUAGUAAAAUAAUUUCCAUGUGUCAAUAAUAUAUAUGAUGAUUGAUGAGCUCAUCAAUACCAUGAUUUCCAUUUCCUUGUUAUUUUUCCAUAUUUAUCCCGUUGAAUUUCUCAGAAUUUCGAUGGAUUUUCAGAGGUACACUUUUAGUGUACAAUUCCGGGUCCGUCAAUUCAUAUUCAUGUGCGCACAUUUCCAUUUCAAAGAGCACACUCCCGCGAACCUCAACCUUGCAGUGGGAUUACCGGUCCAGGCUAAAUCCCCUGCAAUAUAAACUCAUAGAGUAUUGUCGGGAUUACCAGUCCAGGCUAAAUCCCCUGCAACGACAAUUACUCUAAUGAGCUUGGAUCUGAAUUUCCAUUCCAGGCUAAAUUCAGACCCUAAUUCGGAUUACCCGUCCGGGCUAAAUCCAUUUUCCACGUAUUCUUCGGGAGGGCUAUAUCAGGAUAGGAUCACCCGUCCGGGCUAGAUCUUUUUUACCGUCAAUUCCUUUUCAGAGAUCCAUCAAAUUUUUCUUUCAUUCAACCGGGAUUUCUUCCCCUUUUUAUCAAAUAUAUCAAUGUUUCACCAAUUUUCAUACAAUGAAUAUUCAAAUUAUAUUCACAUAAAUAACAUACAAUCUCAAGCAUUUAAGAAUAUAAUUCAAGUUACAUGAACUUACCUUGAUACUUGUUCGUGUACAAAAAUCUACUAAUCCUGAACUUUUUCCUUUCCUCGAUCUAGCUUCGUAUUUGAAUCUUCUGGAUCUAAAUAAAUAAAUUUAAUUAUCAAUUUAAUACAUUUCAUGCUCCUAUGCAACAAUUUCUAUAAUUUCAUUAUUAUUAUUUAUAGUUUAUUCAAAGCUGUCUAUUUGAGUCAUAGUCACUAAAUUGUUUAUAACUUGAGCUACGGAACUCCAAAUUAAGAUCCGUUAAUUUUCCCUGAAACUGGACUCAGAUAUAUUUUUACCAUAAAAUUUUCAUAAUUUUUGGUUUAUCCAAUAAGUACAGUUUAUUCUUUAAAUUCACCCCUGUUCUGCUGUCUGAUAAUUCUGACCCUUCUUCACUAAAAAUUAAUUAUCUCUUCAUACAGAAUUUGAAUGAUGUUUUAAUUUGUUUCUCUUGAAAAUAGACUCAUCCAGGAUUCUAGACAUAUAAAUUUAAGCUCCUAAUUAUUUUUAUUCAAUUUUUUUAUGAUUUUUCAAAGUCAGAACAGGGGAACCCGAAUUCAUUCUGACAUUAUCUCACAAAAUUCAUUAUAUCUCAAAAUUUACAAAUCCAUUGUUUACACUAUUUCUUCUAUGAGAAACUAGACUCAAUAAGCUUUAAUUACAUAUUUUUUUCAUCUUCUAAUUCGAUUUUUACAAUUUAUGGUGAUUUUUCAAAGUUAGUCUACUGCUGCUGUCCAAACUGUUUUUGUGCAAGUUGUUUAUUACCAUUUUUCCCUUAACCUUUUAAUAAAUGAUAAUUUCGUCCCUACUCAAUUAGCCUCUCAAUUGAGCUGAUUUUUCUCAAUUAACAUUUUAUUCUAUCACCUUAAACUAGUUUACAACCUUUAGGAAUCAGAAUUUCAGCAAUAGACUUUAAUUCCAAGCAUUUUCAGAAUUAGGUCCUAAAAAAUCAAUUUCUAUUGAAAUUACCUAAUAAAAUCAUCUCAUAAACAAAUUAAAGCUUUAAUUUAAUUCUAUUUCAUCAUAAACUUACAGCACUCAACCAUGGUGACUUUCAAUUUCAUCCAUGAAAUAAAAAACUAAUGAAUUUAAUAGUAGGACCUAGUUGUAAAAGUCUUAGAAACACAAAAAUUACAAGAAAAAGGCAAGGAUUAACUCACUUGGUGCAAAAAUUAUGAAAUACCAGCUUAUAGAACCCUCCUAUGGCGUUUUUAGCUGCUGGAAUUGAAGAGAAAUGAAGAGAAAUCUAGAUAUUUCCUAUUUAGUCCUAGCUUUAUUUAGUUAAUUUUGCAAUAUUCCAAUUUUACCCUUAAUUUAUCAAUUUUUCUGCUGAUUUCAUACCCUUGUCGUCCAGCCUAAAUAACUUUUGGGUCUAAUUGCCUUUUAAAUCCUUUCUAAUAACUUUUAGACUCUUAAGCUAUUUAAUCACUGUGGCAACUUUUACACCUAUUACAAUUUAGUCCUUUUCAUUUAAUUGACUACCCAAACAUUAAAAUUUCCUAACGAAAUUUUAAUAACACAUUAAUAACAUUUCAUAAAUAUUUAUAAAAUUAUUUUUGACUCAGUUUUACGAGAUAUAGGUCUCGAUACCUUGUUUUUACCUAAUUUCUUCAAUAAUUUCUUUUUCUAUCUAAUCACUAAAUUGGUAAAAUUUUUCUAUCAAUAUUUUCAUACGAUUUUCCUAUCAUAUCAAUUUUCAAGCAAAAAUAUUGAAAUAAAUUUCUCUUUAAAUCGGAUCUAUGGUUACGAAACCAUUAUUCCGAUAACCUUGAAUUUAGGCCAUUACAAUUCCUAAGAAGAUGGGAAGAAUCAAAAAAAAAGGAAAAGAACAAAUUUAAAUUUAAUAUUCCAUGUAUUCCAUUUAUUAUAAUAUUAAUUAUUUGAGAAAUUAAUUUUAUUAUAAUUUAAGUUUAUAUGCUACAUACAUCAUAAUAUUAAUGAAUUUAAACAUCAUAUAUAAAAUAUCUAAAAUCUCAAAAGCACUUUUUUGACAAUAAUGUUAAAUAUUUCAAUUUUUUUAUGUACUUACCUUUAUAUGAGUGUAGCAUCACGAUUUUUAGUAUUUGAUUUUUUGAUACAAUACCUAGAACUACCAAUAGCCCAUUCUCAACCCUUAAAUAAAAGGAUAAUUCACUUUAACGCACUCAAACUUACGUCCUCUUGCACUUGGAACAAUGAGGAUGCCAACUGAGCUAAGACUCAAUCAAUUAAAUAUUUCAAAUAAAAUAUUUAUCUACAAGAUAAAUUUUAAAUUCAAUCACUUUAAUAUUAAUUUAAUAUAAUACUUAUUAAACUUAAUAGAAUAUUUAUCUACAAGAUAAAAAUUAAAUUAAAUUUAAUAAUAAGAUAAUCAUUUUAAUAUUAAAUUUAUUAAAAUAACAUUAUUUUUAGAAUAGUUAAUCUGAAAUCAAAUUAUCCUAUGAAGUCCAGGUAGGAGUGCGAUUCUUCCGUUACUCAACCACCGAAGAACCACUAUUACCGACCAUCCAUCAACCACUGAAAUGCCACUGUCCCAACCCUCACGACACCCUCACGGCACCCCAACCGAUCCUGUCCAGCCAUCAGUUGGACCGUUGACCUGGUUUCACAUACCAGGUUUAGUUUGACCAAUUUUAGGUCUCAAUCUCGGUUUUUGAUUCUCAGUUCUAAUUUUCUAUCUUAACUCCAAUUUUCAAGUUCAAUUACCCAUUGGACCAAUUGUUUGACUUAAAAAUUAAUUUCCAAAAAUGUCAUAUUUAUUUUUAAUUAAUUUGAUUAAUUUAGCUUUACUUGAUCAAAAUUAGUUUUUCCAAAAAUCACUGAGAUUUUCCAAAAUUAAUUUUUAAGAAAAAUUUUUAAUCAAAUUCUCUAGUUGAAAAUUUCUCACAAUCGCCCAAUUCAAUUUCACAUAGAAUAAAUUAACUCAAUUAAAUUAUUUCCAAAGUCGAAGAAAUUUCUUCUGAUUCAAAUGCAGUCCGAUCGAGUUUUUGUUGAGCUAGCAGAGGGACCAAUCAGACAUAUACAAUUAGGCUUGAGUAAUUACAAUUAUGUUCAGAAGCAUUAUUCUGAUAAUUUGCAAUUUACUUAAUCAUGGAGUUUGUCCACAAGAAGUAUCAUGAUUGAAAACUCUUCAUUGUAUACUCUUUACGAAAGCAAUUCAUCUAUCUACUUUGUCUAAUAACCUCGUUAUAUGUGUGUUACCCUCACAUGAUAUCCUUGAUUUCUUUGAGUUAAAUUUGUUCACUCAAUACAAUCAUAUUUUAUCUCGUUGUCACAAUUAUGUCUUCUUAAUAAUUAAUAUAAUUGCCGUCAACAAAUGACUAUGAUAAAUUUCUCAUUCAAGAACUAGCAACUCGUGGUCACAUUCUAUAUUUAUCAAUUCACACAAUGCCAAUGAGAGGAUAUCGUUAACUCUUUAAUUGAGCUAUGAAUUCCAUUGUUACUAGUAAAGUCAUGUCAUACAAUAGUCAUGUAUCCAACAUCAUGUCAUACAAUAGUCAUGUAUCCAACAUACCUGCUAUAAGCUCGAUCAUCUUUAAAGCAUAAACCUUUACUUAUAUUAAAAUACACGAGUUACAUAAGCAUGGUUAAUAACUAACUCAAGGUUUAGUUAAAUCACACUAUGAACGUCACAAGUGAAUUAAUACACAAACGAAUUCAAAAUUAAUUCAACUUGGGUUGAUGGAAAGUCUUUCAUGAAUGUAUAUGCUCCGCUCCUUGCCAUCAAUUCAAUGCACCAUGUGCAUUUAAUUUAAAUAUUAAUGCAAUGUACUUGUAGAUUACCAUUCGACCAUACAUGUAUAUUCCUUAACUUGGCAGAAUAUGCUUUUAUUCUUGAAGGUAGAUAUGUAGCCUUUCAUAUAUACUAGUCAUACAUUGAGCCCAAUGAAGGUGAAGAGUUGGUGGUGCAUGGUUUCACAUGGUGUAAUGUAUCAAUUGAAGUCGAAUGAUCUUUGCUGCAUGUUCCUUGUGUGGUUGACCAUGGAGAUGUACCUAAGACAUAUUAAAAUACUUUAAAAAAAACAUAAAACAUUAAGACAUUAGAACGUUAAGACUUAAAACAAAUAAGACAUAAAAGCAUUAAACAUAAACAAAACAUAAAGACAUUAAAACACUCAUGAAUGCAUUAAUUAAAGGGACUGAAUCUUGAAAACUAAGUGGUCGAAUGUUAGGAUCUGAAUGGCCACUUCUAGAAUGUUGCAUUUUCCUUUGUCUUGUUGGAUUGGAAUUUUGGACUUGAGCUUCUCAUGUUCGACCCAAUCUUCUUGGGGCGUCCCAUGGAUAGCUUUUUUAGGUCGUUUAGCCCUAGCACUUGUGAAUGGCCCAUUCGACGUUUGUAAAGGUUCUUUGGAGCCUGGGAGUGACCUGCCUAAUAUUACCCCAAUCAUAGGUGCACUUGGAGUUGACCCAAUUGAAAUUAGCCAACUUGUAGAUGACUUCAUUGACACUUGAAUUGGAUCCUUAGCCCUUGAAAAUGACUCGAUGACCAAUGACUUCAUCAAAAUCAAUUGCAUACGUAAAAUUGACCCAUAAAAGCUUGGAAUUCUUGGAAUGUAGAACUAAUGUCAAUAAUUGCAAUAUAGAACGAUCGUAAAGCAAAAAGAAAGAAAAUAAGAACACAUAGAUUUUACGUGAAAAACCCUUUUGGGAAAAAAUUACGGGUAGAGGAGAAAAAAAUUCAUUAAUGUCAAUUUCGAAUGAUAUAAAGGCGUUUAGACUACAUUUAUUAUAGGUUAAAAAAAUCUUAUUCUAAUCAAUGACAAAUAAAUUAAGUGUAGUAAGGUUGAAAAACCUUAUUCUAAUCAAUGUAAAAUAAAAGAAGUAUAAUUCUAUAUAGAUUUUACUUUUAUUUUAUUUUACCAUUGUAUUUUAUUUAACAAGGAUUCAAGUCACUCAACUCUAACAAUUUCCACCUUGGCACGAAUUCUCAAUGUACAAGUUCUUCACCAUGAACUCUCAAUGAACAAGUUCUCCACAUUUCCAUGAAAUCUCUUGAGGGGUUUUUUCAAUAACAAACUGUAAUAGUCCGGUUUUGACCCUAGUCGGAAUAGUGGUUUCGGGACCACAUAUUCGAGUCAGAAAAAUAUUUAAAUAUUAUUUUUCAUGUUUAUGAUAUGUGAAUGAGCAUGUUUGAAAAUAUCGUAUGAAAAUUCGAAUGUUUGUGUGUUUAAUUUUGAAAAAGGACCUAAUCGCGUAAAAUGUGAAAGUUGCUUGCUACUUGUUAAAAGUGCUUAAUUGAUUUGGCUUUAUGAUUGUGAGGUCAUUAUGAGGUUAUUUGACAAUUGAAGGAAUUAAAUAACAAAAAAGGGCAUGUGUUUGGUGAAUGAAUAAUUUUAUAACAAAGGGUAAAUUUGGAAAUUAGUUAAUGAUAUGUUUUAUAAUAAAACAAAAGCAUAAAUUAAGUCAUUUUCUUUCAUCUUUGCCGAAAUUGAAGAGAAAAGUCUAGGGUUUAUGUGUUUGAAGCAUUCGGCCAACAUCUAGCUUGACUAAAGGUCUGUUUUUGUUCGGUUUUUGAUAAUUUUUACGUUUUUGUAAUCGUUGCUUCGUAUAUUAUCAAACCCAUGCCUUAAUUUAUGAUUUUGUUAAUGAUUUUGAAAUGUUCCAUGGAUAAAUUCAUGAGCUUUUUGAUGUUAUAUGUUGAAAUAUGAAAGUUUGAUGUUGGAUUUGCAUGUUUUGUCUCUGGAUUUUUGAUGAAUUUGAGCAAUUUGGGCUAAAUUGUGAAAAUGUUAUUUUGAGGGACUAAUGUGAAAUAAAUGAAAUGUAUGGACUUGUAUGAGAUCUAUGAAAAUUCGGCCAAGCUUGUGUACAAACAAAUUAUAUGUAUUUUGUGAUUUUGUGAAUUAAGAACUAAAGUGUCAAAAUGUGAAAAUGUGAGGACUUGUUUGCAAAAUGCCCUAAAUGUGUGUUUGUGGAUUGUUUUGAAUGAAUUUGUGAUUGAAAUGGUUAAUUUUGAAUUGAAUUAUAUUGAGAAUUAAAGAAUACGGAUUUAGAUAGGGGGAAGUCGGAAGUCGUUGAAUAGUCGACUCCGUGUUCAAAUCCGUACGAGGUAAGUCGAUAUACAAAUAAGCUUGUUUGAAUUGAAUUAUUAUUGUUCAUUUGAUAUUGAAUUGUGAUGAAUGAAUGUCCGAGCUAAUUAAAUGCUAUCCGAGAAAGUACCGACAAAGUUACGACAUCCGAAACGCCCCAUACAAACCUUAGGAAUUGUUAGGAUACAUAUGUCAUGACAUAGGAUUUUCGAUAUCUGUUUUGCAUGUAAGACCACAUCUGGGACAUUGGCAUCGACUUUUGUUUUACGUGUAAAGCCAUGUCUGGGACAUUGACAUCGUAUCUAAUUUCGUGUAAGAUCCUGUUUGGGACAGUGGCAUCAAUGUUUGAUUACAUGUAAGACCACGUCUGGGACAUUGGCAUUGUAUAUGUUCUCUGAGCUAUCCGCGUAUCCUUACGUUUCCGAAUGGUUCAAACGGGCAUUCCAAAAAAAUGAAUAAUUUGGUGAAAUCAUAUCAGAUUCAGGUAUGUUUACUUUGUAUAGCCUAUUUGAGAAUGAAAGGUAAGUAUUUGAAUAUGAGAUUUGUGUAAGCAUUGGUAUACAAAGUAUAAAUGAUUUGAUGAUACUUAUUUUCUUUGAAUGAUAUGUUUAUUUGUAUAUGGCUUACUAAGCUUUUGAAAGCUUACUUUGUGUGUGUUUGUAUUGUUUUAUAGAUAUCGAAGCUACUAUGGGCUCGGGGAUCAUCGAGGAUCGUCAACACACUAUCGAACCUUACUUUGGUACUUUGAACAUGUAUAUAUUAAAGUAUGGCAUGUAUAGGCUAGAAGUUGUGGAAUUAUGUUUUGUGAUGUACAUAUUUAGUCAAGUGAUAUGGCUAGUUUGUGUUUGAACUUAUAGUUUGAUAAUGGUAUGUGAUAUGUGAUGCUAAUGUGAAACUGUGGUAUGUUUUGGUUGGCCAAAAGAAAUGGUCAAUGUUGAGAAGUUUUGGUAAGU
RNAcentral lists this long non-coding RNA (9652 nucleotides) under Gossypium barbadense (sea-island cotton). RNAcentral describes it as "long non-coding RNA (GBAR_LNC011915)". Lineage: Eukaryota; Viridiplantae; Streptophyta; Magnoliopsida; Malvales; Malvaceae. The record is from RNAcentral.